UAAUGAGGUGAUAAUGAGGUGGUAAUGAUAUGCUAAUGAGGGGGUAAUGAGACACUAAUGAUAUGGAUCAGUCACCGUGUGGCGCUACUGCACCGAGAUCUUCGACUACCUCAGCCUGUCCGCCAUCAUCGACGGCAAGGUAUGCUAAUGAGAUGCUAAUGAGGUGGUAAUGAGAUGCUAAUGAGGUGGUAAUGAGACACUAAUGAUAUGGAUCAGUCACCGUGUGGCGCUACUGCACCGAGAUCUUCGACUACCUCAGCCUGUCCGCCAUCAUCGACGGCAAGGUAUGCUAAUCACAUGCUAAUGAGGUGAUAAUGAGGUGGUAAUGAUAUGCUAAUGAGGGGGUAAUGAGACACUAAUGAUAUGGAUCAGUCACCGUGUGGCGCUACUGCACCGAGAUCUUCGACUACCUCAGCCUGUCCGCCAUCAUCGACGGCAAGGUAUGCUAAUCACAUGCUAAUGAGGUGAUAAUGAGGUGGUAAUGAUAUGCUAAUGAGGGGGUAAUGAGACACUAAUGAUAUGGAUCAGUCACCGUGUGGCGCUACUGCACCGAGAUCUUCGACUACCUCAGCCUGUCCGCCAUCAUCGACGGCAAGGUAUGCUAAUCACAUGCUAAUGAGGUGGUAAUGAGACACUAAUGAUAUGGAUCAGUCACCGUGUGGCGCUACUGCACCGAGAUCUUCGACUACCUCAGCCUGUCCGCCAUCAUCGACGGCAAGGUAUGCUAAUGAGGUGGUAAUGACAUGGUAAUGAGGUGGUAAUGAGAUGGUAAUGAGGGGGUAAUGAGACACUAAUGAUAUGGAUCAGUCACCGUGUGGCGCUACUGCACCGAGAUCUUCGACUACCUCAGCCUGUCCGCCAUCAUCGACGGCAAGGUAUGCUAAUGAGGUGGUAAUGAGAUGCUAAUGAGGUGGUAAUGAGGUGGUAAUGAGGGGGUAAUGAUAUGGAUCAGUCACCGUGUGGCGCUACUGCACCGAGAUCUUCGACUACCUCAGCCUGUCCGCCAUCAUCGACGGCAAGGUAUGCUAAUCACAUGCUAAUGAGGUGGUAAUGAGA
This is a long non-coding RNA of Melopsittacus undulatus (budgerigar), 1056 nucleotides long. RefSeq lists it as uncharacterized. The record is from RefSeq and is a predicted model, not a curated record. The transcript is spliced from 2 exons. NCBI's taxonomy places the organism in Eukaryota, Metazoa, Chordata, Aves, Psittaciformes, Psittaculidae.